This 462-nucleotide ribosomal RNA is filed under the name uncultured bacterium. RNAcentral's name for it is "SSU rRNA". It matches the Rfam family "Bacterial small subunit ribosomal RNA", at positions 26 to 518 of the family's 1533-position model. The record is from RNAcentral.
AGAACGAACGCUGGCGGCAUGCCUAACACAUGCAAGUCGAACGCUUUUGGGGCUUCGGUCCCAAAGGAGUGGCGCACGGGUGAGUAGCGCGUGGGAACCUGCCCUGUUGUGGGGGAUAACCGAGGGAAACUUCGGCUAAUACCGCAUACGCCCGGGGGAAACUCCGGGGAAAGAUUUAUCGCAGCAGGAGGGGCCCGCGUCGGAUUAGGUAGUUGGUGGGGUAACGGCCCACCAAGCCUGUGAUCCGUAGCUGGUCUGAGAGGAUGAUCAGCCACACUGGGACUGAGACACGGCCCAGACUCCUACGGGAGGCAGCAGUGGGGAAUAUUGGACAAUGGGCGCAAGCCUGAUCCAGCAAUGCCGCGUGAGUGAUGAAGGCCUUCGGGUGUAAAGCUCUUUCGCACGCGACGAUGAUGACGGUAGCGUGAGAAGAAGCCCGGCUAACUUCGCGCCAGCAGCCGC